Molecule: long non-coding RNA, 613 nt
Filed under: Helianthus annuus (common sunflower)
Lineage: Eukaryota; Viridiplantae; Streptophyta; Magnoliopsida; Asterales; Asteraceae
Description: sRNA HanXRQr2_Chr10g0427051
Source: RNAcentral
GGUUAAAGUGUGUGAUAUAUGUGGAAAUGCAGGGCGUGAGGACUUACUUGCUAUAUGAUGUAGAUGUCUGGAUGGUGCGGAGCACACAAUGCGAAAUGGAGGAAACUAAAAUCACAAACCGACAAGAAUAACACAGGGACUUCAACUGAAAAGACCAGUCUUCGCAUUCAAAAGUUGCGAAAGCACAUGGAAAAAAGACUUGCAGACAAAUUAGAUUCGUCUUUUAAAAACUGGCUCUUGAGAUCCCAGGGUCAUGUAAAGACGUUGAGCGUGGGAAAGUGGAAGUUGACCAUCAGUUUUAUCAUUUUGGUAGUGAGUCUACAGAAGGGUCACAUUCUCUCGCGACACGCCCACGAUUAUAAUCUUUACUAGGUGACCUUCAACGGUUAAGGUAAGAAAAAACUUACAUUUUCGAGCUACGAACCGAACCGAGCUACGAAUCGAAGGUUAAAACACGAGAUGGAGUCAAGCUACUAAUACUUGACAACGACGGCAAACCUACGAAUAAAACAAAUAAUGUUGUUUAUAAAGAAAUCUUCAAUGAGUUGUGAUUUUUGGUUGUAUUCAUGUAUUUCAAUUAUUUGGUGUACUCUCUAUCAUUUCCGUUAAUAUU